Molecule: long non-coding RNA, 2265 nt
Filed under: Homo sapiens (human)
Lineage: Eukaryota; Metazoa; Chordata; Mammalia; Primates; Hominidae
Description: HSALNT0152958
Source: RNAcentral
UACAGGCAUCUCAUGAAGAUUGGGAAGGAGGGCUGCAGGAAGCCUGGUAGGGAUAGAUCUGGUAAGGAUAGCCACCUCCCAUGAUAAGCCCUGGGAGAGGAAUCUGGCGCCAUGACAGGCAGCUGUCUUGAGAAGGUGGCAUGCUUAGAGCCUCUUUGUUGUCACAUCUGGGCUUUAGCUGGAAUUCCCAAACAGGAAAAGCCUCAUCAAACAUCCUGCUGCAUUUGAACAAUGGAAAGGAGCGUCCAUUAGAAUCUUACCAUGCCAGAAUCAGAAGGGAUCAGAAGAGAUCACAGCCAACCCUCUCACACUACACAGAAGGAAACUGAGAUCCAAAGAGGAAAAUGGAGUGACUUAAAGGACCCAGUGAGUUAGAGGAAGUGCAAAACCUAAUACUGAGGUUUUUUAAAUCCCUGCACAAGGAUCUUUUCAUUAACUCAUUCAAGGAUGCUUAAUAAAGUAAAUAACGGAGUGUCUGCUAUAGAUUUGCUUCUAAAUGUCCUUGAAAGCAGUUGAUUGGAAAAUUCCACCUGGUGCUGCAAGUGAAAUUGCUAAAUGAAUUUGAUUCUUGCAUGCCAAAAAUAUCUCUACAAAGAUAUGAAUUUGUCUUGGUUUAAACACUGCGAGCAACUGGAUUCAGACAUCAAGGUCAUGGCUUUGCUCAUAGCACCUUUGCCUUCCAGUGGCCUUUCUGGUCUCUGAAUUCCAUGGUCUGAAGUUUGUCUUACCGAGGAGACUACUUGACCAUGUUUUUGUCAUCUCUGGUACCUUCCCGGUUUCCCAUCUUGAUGGUCAGGCUAUGCUGCUCAAGUCUGAUCCCCGUGGACCUUCCUCAUCACAGCAAGGCUGUGUGGAGCCAUUUUCUCCUCCACACCCCCCUUGCUCUGUGCCUUGCAACCUGGGCUGUCUGGACUAUAACUCUGCAGGUUGCAGUUGGGUUCAGUCAACUGACCAGACGUGGAAAAGAAGAAGGCGAGGGUGAGGUUGAGGUGCUUAUUGCCCGGUUCCCUCUUUGUGGGAUUUCCAAGGGCUGGCUGCAUCCCUCCAUUAAAAACCUCAGCUCCCACCAAGUGGCUCCUCCCAUCACAGGACUCCCUCUCCUGGUAUCAGUAGCUCUCCGUCCACUUACCUGUUCAGGCCUGGGCAGGUAACAGCACCUGGUGUUACUCAUGCUUUGAUGAGCCCUUUGGGGUUCUGCAUUAUCUCUUGUGGUUUCCCCAUACCCUGCCAUCCCUUUUAAAAAUAAUUCCUUUAUUAAACUCACCUCAAGUUACCCCAUUUAAGUGUGCCACCUGUUCAUCUGGGACUCUGACUGAUAUACUACCUGACUCCAACCUGAGACUCCAUCUCCCCCAAGUCUCUGGAACAUAUUCUGUCCCAAGAGGGAGAAUCUUUGGAGACUACUUUCAGGAGUCACUGCGUCUGCAAGUUCCUUGAACCUGAACUCCUAAGUCUGAAUUGCAAAUUCUCACCUUCCUCCUGAGAACAAGCCCCCAAGAACUUACAGUAGAACCUCUCACAUGGAGAUGGCAUGAGGCCAGGAAAUCAGGACCUUGAGUGAGGAGGCUGCAGAGCUGUGCUGGCUGUCUGGGAUGACAUUAGGUAUCUCAUAUAGCAGAGGGGCAAGAAGAGGGGGUCUGGGGAUCUUGAGAGAGAGCCCACUCUGGCAACGUUGGAAGCCAGAGUGUUCCUUACCUUUGGGCUGAUGAGAACUAGGGGGAGGCAUUUGUGUCCCUGCUUAGGCCAGAGCACUAGGAGGGGAGCGCCUGCUAGGGCCCAGCAUGAUGAUGGCAGUGAGACUCUGCUAACUGGACUGAGAGAGCCCUCGGGGAAGGUAAAGCACAGUACUCUCCUCUCAGCAUUAAUGACUACCCCGCCCCCUGCAAAUAGCCCACUGGUUCAAACUCCUACACCCCGUAGCUGAGCCAUCCCAUGGGUCUCUUAAGCUCCAAGUCCCUGUUCUGACAAUCGCAAGCUAUUCAAUAAUAGCCAGUGUCUUCUUUAUUUCUAUCCCUCAUUGUGCUAGACACAAAAUAUGUUAGCUUAAGAGUAGUUUACAGUCACUUACAACCUGCCUGCUACAGACUGCCACCUGAGCCCAAAACUGUGUGGGAUGGCAGUGUCACAGAAGAGAUAGUUGCAAAGUUGCCCAAAGUGUUCAUAUUAUCUCACAUUUUUUCAAAGUGCUUCACGGUUUGUCAUUUUCUCAUGUAUUAUAUAUCAGUUAAUUCUCACAAUAAAUCUGUUAUACAUAUGUAUAUAUAC